Molecule: ribosomal RNA, 360 nt
Filed under: uncultured bacterium
Lineage: Bacteria
Description: partial 16S ribosomal RNA
Rfam family: Bacterial small subunit ribosomal RNA
Source: RNAcentral
CCUACGGGAGGCAGCAGUGAGGAAUAUUGGUCAAUGGCCGGAAGGCUGAACCAGCCAAGCCGCGUGAGGGAGGAAGGCGCAGAGCGUCGCAGACUUCUUUUGCCGGGGGACAAAAGGCCGGACUUGUCCGGUCCUGAGGGUACCCGGAGAAAAAGCAUCGGCUAACUCCGUGCCAGCAGCCGCGGUAAUACGGAGGAUGCGAGCGUUAUCCGGAUUCAUUGGGUUUAAAGGGUGCGAAGGCGGGCCUUUAAGCCGGCGGUGAAAUCGCGGGGCUAAACCCCGCCGAGCCGUGGGAACUGGGGGGCUUGAGUGCGGCGGAGGCAUGCGGAAUGCGCGGGGUAGCGGUGAAAUGCGUAGAUA